ACUCCUACGGGAGGCAGCAGUGGGGAAUAUUGCACAAUGGGGGAAACCCUGAUGCAGCCAUGCCGCGUGUGUGAAGAAGGCCUUCGGGUUGUAAAGCACUUUCAGUAGGGAGGAAGGUAGUGUAGUUAACACCUGCACUAUUUGUACGUUACCUACAGAAGAAGCACCGGCUAACUCCGUGCCAGCAGCCGCGGUAAUACGGAGGGUGCGAGCGUUAAUCGGAAUUACUGGGCGUAAAGCGCAUGCAGGCGGCCUGUUAAGUCAGAUGUGAAAGCCCGGGGCUUAACCUCGGAAUUGCAUUUGAAACUGGCAGGCUAGAGUCUUGUAGAGGGGUUAGAAUUUCAGGUGUAGCGGUGAAAUGCGUAG
RNAcentral lists this ribosomal RNA (366 nucleotides) under uncultured bacterium. RNAcentral describes it as "bacterial SSU rRNA". It matches the Rfam family "Bacterial small subunit ribosomal RNA", at positions 335 to 693 of the family's 1533-position model. The record is from RNAcentral.